This 460-nucleotide ribosomal RNA is filed under the name uncultured bacterium. Its description in RNAcentral is "partial 16S ribosomal RNA". It matches the Rfam family "Bacterial small subunit ribosomal RNA", at positions 338 to 795 of the family's 1533-position model. The record is from RNAcentral.
CCUACGGGAGGCUGCAGUGAGGAAUAUUGGUCAAUGGACGAGAGUCUGACCCAGCCACGUAGCGUGAAUGAUGACUGCCCUAUGGGUUGUAAACUUCUUUUAUAUGGGAAUAAACUGUUCCACGUGUGGGAUUUUGUAUGUACCCUAUGAAUAAGGAUCGGCUAACUCCGUGCCAGCAGCCGCGGUAAUACGGAGGAUCCGAGCAUUAUCCGGAUUUCUUGGGUGUAAGGGGAGCGUAGGUGGAUUGUUCAGUCAGUUGUGAAAGUUUGCGGCUCAACCGUAAAAUUGCAGUUGAAACUGGCAGGCUUGAGUACAGUAGAGGUGGGCGGAAUUCGUGGUGUAGCGGUGAAAUGCUUAGAUAUCACGAAGAACUCCGAUGGCGAAGGCAGCUCACUGGACUGCAACUGACACUGAGGCUCGAAAGUGUGGGUAUCAAACAGGAUUAGAUACCCUGGUAGUC